This 318-nucleotide ribosomal RNA is filed under the name uncultured bacterium. RNAcentral's name for it is "bacterial SSU rRNA". It matches the Rfam family "Bacterial small subunit ribosomal RNA", at positions 29 to 335 of the family's 1533-position model. The record is from RNAcentral.
AACGAACGUUAGCGGCGCGCUUAACACAUGCAAGUCGAGCGAGAAAGGGGCAACCCCGGUAAAGCGGCGCACGGGUGAGUAACACGUAGAUAAUCUACCCCCAGAUGGUGGAUAACCUUCCGAAAGGAGGGCUAAUACAGCAUGAGACCACGACCUCGCAAGGGGAUGGGGUCAAAGCCGGCCUCUUCAUGAAAGCUGGCGUCAGGGGAUGAGUCUGCGGCCCAUCAGCUAGUGGUAGGGUAACGGCCUACCAAGGCGACGACGGGUAGCUGGUCUGAGAGGAUGAUCAGCCACACUGGAACUGAGACACGGUCCAGA